CCUACGGGGGGCAGCAGUGAGGAAUAUUGGUCAAUGGACGAGAGUCUGAACCAGCCAAGUAGCGUGAAGGAUGACUGCCCUAUGGGUUGUAAACUUCUUUUAUAUGGGAAUAAAAUGUUCCACGUGUGGGUUUUUGUAUGUACCAUAUGAAUAAGGAUCGGCUAACUCCGUUCCAGCAGCCGCGGUAAUACGGAGGAUCCGAGCGUUAUCCGGAUUUAUUGGGUUUAAAGGGAGCGUAGGUGGGUUGUUAAGUCAGUUGUGAAAGUUUGCGGCUCAACCGUAAAAUUGCAGUUGAUACUGGCAGUCUUGAGUACAGUAGAGGUGGGCGGAAUUCGUGGUGUAGCGGUGAAAUGCUUAGAUAUCACGAAGAACUCCGAUUGCGAAGGCAGCUCACUGGACUGCAACUGACACUGAGGCUCGAAAGUGUGGGUAUCAAACAGGAUUAGAUACCCGAGUAGUC
RNAcentral lists this ribosomal RNA (460 nucleotides) under uncultured bacterium. RNAcentral's name for it is "partial 16S ribosomal RNA". It matches the Rfam family "Bacterial small subunit ribosomal RNA", at positions 338 to 795 of the family's 1533-position model. The record is from RNAcentral.